RNAcentral lists this ribosomal RNA (253 nucleotides) under uncultured bacterium. Its description in RNAcentral is "partial 16S ribosomal RNA". It matches the Rfam family "Bacterial small subunit ribosomal RNA", at positions 524 to 776 of the family's 1533-position model. The record is from RNAcentral.
GACGAACCGUGCGAACGUUGUUCGGAAUCACUGGGCUUAAAGGGCGCGUAGGCGGGCGGCCGCGUCCGGGGUGAAAUCCCGCCGCUCAACGGCGGAACGGCCUCGGAUACGGGCGGCCUCGAGGGGGGUAGGGGCGUGCGGAACUCUGGGUGGAGCGGUGAAAUGCGUUGAUAUCCAGAGGAACUCCGGUGGCGAAGGCGGCACGCUGGACCCCUUCUGACGCUGAGGCGCGAAAGCCAGGGGAGCGAACGGG